Non-coding RNA from Triticum urartu, 135 nucleotides. The record is from Rfam. NCBI's taxonomy places the organism in Eukaryota, Viridiplantae, Streptophyta, Magnoliopsida, Poales, Poaceae.
GCCUUACUCCCUCCGUCCCAAAAUUCUUAUCUUAGAUUUGUCUAAAUACGGAUGUAUCAAGUCACGUUUUAAUAUUAGGUACAUCUGAAUCUAGAAAAAUCUAAGACAAGAAUUUUGGGACAGAGGGAGUACUUU